UACGUAGGUGGCAAGCGUUAUCCGGAUUUAUUGGGUUUAAAGGGUGCGUAGGCGGGUUAUCAAGUCAGCGGUAAAAUCGUGGAGCUCAACUCCAUCCAGCCGUUGAAACUGAUGAUCUUGAGUGGGCGAGAAGUAUGCGGAAUGCGUGGUGUAGCGGUGAAAUGCAUAGAUAUCACGCAGAGCUCCGAUUGCGAAGGCAGCAUACCGGCGCCCGACUGACGCUGAAGCACGAAAGCGUGGGUAGCAAACAGG
This 252-nucleotide ribosomal RNA is filed under the name uncultured bacterium. RNAcentral describes it as "partial 16S ribosomal RNA". It matches the Rfam family "Bacterial small subunit ribosomal RNA", at positions 524 to 776 of the family's 1533-position model. The record is from RNAcentral.